GACUGGCCACCUCUCUGGGCCCUCAGGGAUGCUGCUGUCCGGACCCCUGACCAGUGACGAGUUUGCACUCAGGGCCAGGCUGGCGCUGGAGGAGAACACUUGUUUGGCUCCAACCCUAGGAAGAAGAGGGAUCCAGCAGUGAGAUCAGGCAGGUUCUGUGUUGCACAGACAGGGAAACAGGCUCUGUCCACACAAAGUCGGUGGGGCCAGGAUGAGGCCCAGUCUGUUCACAUAUGGCUGCUGCCUCUCAGCUCUGCACAGACGUCCUCGCUCCCCUGGGAUGGCAGCUUGGCCUGCUGGUCUUGGGGUUGAGCCAGCGUCCAGCACUGCCUCUCUGCCCUGCUGCCUCCCACUCUGCAGUGCUCCAUGGCUGCUCAGUCGGACCCAUGCUGGAGAUGUUCCAGUUGAAGCCCCAGGCUGUCCUUACCUCCCAGUCUGGGGUGCAGUCCCCCUUACUGUGUCUGCCAAGGGUGCCAGCACAGCCGCCCCACUCCAGGGGAAGAGGAGUGCCAGCCCUUACCCACCUGAGUGGGCACGUGUAGCAUUUAUUCAUUAG
Molecule: long non-coding RNA, 556 nt
Filed under: Pan paniscus (pygmy chimpanzee)
Lineage: Eukaryota; Metazoa; Chordata; Mammalia; Primates; Hominidae
Description: lncRNA (ENSPPAG00000044333.1)
Source: RNAcentral